Molecule: non-coding RNA, 288 nt
Organism: Malus domestica (apple)
Lineage: Eukaryota; Viridiplantae; Streptophyta; Magnoliopsida; Rosales; Rosaceae
Source: RefSeq, a predicted model, not a curated record
UAGGGUACCAAACAUCAAGUUCAAUGUGGCUAAGGUGUUGCAGUCAAUUAUUCCGAUAGUUGAUCAAUCGGUGGUGGAGAAAACUAUUCGUCCUUGUUUGCUUGAGCUUAGUGAGGACUCACACCUCAGUACAACAUAAACCUGAUGUUUAUGCCCAAACAAAUAUCUAUGACGAGCAUCAGCGGUCACAAUGGGCAUGGUGUGUGUGUGUUGUGUUGUGUUGAAUAACCGAAAAAGGAUGACUCUGAAGUGACUUUGAAUGUAAACUUUCAUAUUUUCAUUUUUUUU